This 469-nucleotide ribosomal RNA is filed under the name uncultured Pandoraea sp. Its description in RNAcentral is "bacterial SSU rRNA". It matches the Rfam family "Bacterial small subunit ribosomal RNA", at positions 337 to 798 of the family's 1533-position model. Lineage: Bacteria; Pseudomonadati; Pseudomonadota; Betaproteobacteria; Burkholderiales; Burkholderiaceae. The record is from RNAcentral.
UCCUACGGGAGGCUGCAGUGGGGAAUUUUGGACAAUGGGCGAAAGCCUGAUCCAGCAAUGCCGCGUGUGUGAAGAAGGCCUUCGGGUUGUAAAGCACUUUUGUCCGGAAAGAAAUCCUCUGGGUUAAUACCUCGGGGGGAUGACGGUACCGGAAGAAUAAGCACCGGCUAACUACGUGCCAGCAGCCGCGGUAAUACGUAGGGUGCAAGCGUUAAUCGGAAUUACUGGGCGUAAAGCGUGCGCAGGCGGUUUUGUAAGACGGAGGUGAAAUCCCCGGGCUUAACCUGGGAACUGCAUUCGUGACUGCAAGGCUAGAGUAUGGCAGAGGGGGGUAGAAUUCCACGUGUAGCAGUGAAAUGCGUAGAGAUGUGGAGGAAUACCGAUGGCGAAGGCAGCCCCCUGGGCCAAUACUGACGCUCAUGCACGAAAGCGUGGGGAGCAAACAGGAUUAGAUACCCUGGUAGUCUAG